Molecule: long non-coding RNA, 4100 nt
Filed under: Olea europaea subsp. europaea
Lineage: Eukaryota; Viridiplantae; Streptophyta; Magnoliopsida; Lamiales; Oleaceae
Source: RNAcentral
GUAGCCCGCAUCACCAUUUCACCAUAGUUCCAAUCGACCCACACAAGUCCACCAUUCCUAAUGGCCCAAAUAACUCAAUCCUCUAAUAAUCCGGUUUAGGUUCGAACAGCAUAAACUUCAUCCCCAAUUCCCAUCCAAGACUCUAUAGAACUCAUUCCAAAUCUACCGAUCACUGUGAGUCUGCCAGUCUCUUCAAGUCGUCGACGCCACUAGAAGCCUUCAAGUUCGACAGUGCCACUGGAAUCGGCUCCCUUACGUCCCUGACUCUCUGCUCGCGCAAUGAUCCGUUGUUCUAACUUUCUAAGGUAAAAACCUAACCUUUUAUUUUCGGCUAUAUGUUGUGAUAACGGGUGUGGCGGCUAUAUGUUGCGACUAGUUGUAGUCUAGAUAUAUGUUGCGAUAAAGGGUGUGAAGCUGCACGAAUUGUUGCUUGUUCAUCACCACCUCCUUGGAUUUAGCUCUAUUAGUUUCUUGAAUGUCAAUCAAUUUGUUGGAUUCAAGAAGAUUUUCUAUGGGGUUCAAGGAUUCAACAACCAUGAUGGCUUUUUUUUUUUUGGAGGCUUUGAAAAUCAAAACUAGAGCUAGAGGCUUGUUCUCUAGCUUUCUCAAAUGUUGCUUUUUCGCCCUCUUUUUUCUAGCUUCUAUGGUUUGACUCUUGUCCAAUAGUACUAUUUCUUAAUCUUUAGAAUUGGAAUCAGAGAUAGGAUCAUCUUUCUAUUCUUGUGUCUUCUCGAAUGCUGCUUCUGAGCAUUUUUAUUGGUCAGCUUGAUUGUGCACUUGCUGUGUAGAUAUUUUUUCCAAUGCUAUAGAAGGUGGCGCUUUAGUAAUUGCAUCAUCUUCGUCCAUUGUAUUAGUUUUUUGGACAAUGUAUUGACUAUUUUGUGGCAUGUCUUGAUAUAUUGACUAUUUACUCAUUGUUUGACGACUCUCACCAUUCAGUUGUUACCUUUUGGUUUGAGUAUGGCUGCAUCUGGAAUUUUUAUUUUUUUUUGACUUCUUCAGGUACUACAAGUAAUGCUAGAGCUAUCUUAGUCUUGGGUAGAGAUCUAAUGGUGGUUCCAAAACUAAUUCAUCCAUUGUCACCGGCAAUUUCAUCUCCUCAGACCUCACCUAAACACCAAAUAGACGACACAUGGAUGCAAGUACAAAUGACAUCUUUACUCUUGGUUUCCAAUAUGAUCAUGUUCUUAAUCACGUGGGAUUGCACCUUUGGCCCACAAUAUUUCAUUAUAGAUGCUUAAUUAGUCCCCAGUAAUAGAAACCGUCCAAAUCUAUGUACAAUUUGGAUGACCCCCCACAUGCCCAACUUAAUGAAGCUAAAUUUUUCUUCCCAACUUGGGCUGAUGCCCAAGAAUUUGAAGUGUUUCCAUCAGGGCCACUUAACGAUUUAAAAGAUUUGGAAGCCUUUAUCAUUUUUAUAUUUUAUCGGGACCAAAAAUAUUGCUCAACUAUAAUGCAAGGAUGGGGACCAACUUAAUGCUGGGACAUUACUAAGGCCAAUGAUGAAAUUUCCUUUCAAUCAACUAUGUGUCCUCUCGUGCUGAUGUUGAUCUUUGUUUGUAUUGUGAAAUUAGGAUCUCAAUGUUAACAGACCACCUACACCAACUAGGGGUCUUCCUCAAGUGACUAAUGAUAGAGAUUCUCUUGCUUGGAUUUAGAUUUUGUCUCCUAAAUUGCUUUAUCGUACUCCGGGUUGAUGCUUUCACUCCAAAAUUUUCAUGAUCUGUACGUAGCGUUGACCUCGAGAAUUGGACCCUCCACGUGGCCAACGGGUAGCUACUCCAUGUAAUCCUCUCUGCGCACAACAACGCAUGGUCAGAAGCAUACGGUCGAAACUAGGGGUGGUGGUGACGACCACAUACACUCGGACGGUCAAGUCAGCAUUGGGUGAUCGGAACAGUGCUCCAGUUAUACAAGAGAGUGGGGAUGAUAAUAUAUAUUUCUUAGUAUAGAGAGUUAAGUUAUAAGAGUUUCAUUAUCUUUGUCUCUUGCUAGACCUUGGUAUUUAUAAAGGUAGAACACCGCUGGAUGUGGGACACAUGUAUGCAUCUGACGGUGUGAGGCAUCUGCUCAUAGGCAUCAAUCAGCCACGUCUAGAGUGGGCGGACAAUUAGUUCUUCUGAGUUUGGUUAACAUAAGGUUGAUAAGUCACAUCAACUAGACUUAUGGAGACGUCACAUCAAUUGAUCUUUGGAGGCAGAGGGGAUCUUGACAGAUAUCUUUUUGACAGUGGCGGCGAAGGGAUCUGUUAAGGGAGUGUCUCGAAGUGCUCAAUGCUUCGGAGUUGAGGGAUACUUCAGUUGCUUCAGUGGAUAUACUCUUCACCCUGCAAUGCGCCAUGUUGAGGUCGUUAGGAGUGGGCAUCACUUCGGAACCACUUCGGGUGAACAUGUGGAACUUCGGGGAGUGGUGUCUGUUGUUCUGAAGUGGUUUAGUUAGGGGUGUAACACAUAGCUUGAUUCCAUGUCGAGGAUUCUGCAGAGAUAAGUUAUUCACUCUUAGAAAUAUAAAGGCUCUUUGCUUUCACUGGAGUGCGUUCAGAAGAUAAAGAGGAAGAGUUUGAACAUGUUGCAGGCGGCUAGUUGUAGUCUACAUUUAUUGUGCUGAAAGCAAUUCAAGAUUUCCCAAAAGCUCUACAUGAUCCAUAACAGGUGGAAGUUACUGUGUCAUUUCUUCCUUUGUGUGGGCAGGCUUCGUUUUUUCCAUCUUUGUAUAUUUUUCAUCCAUUGGGUAGGUGCGUUAUUGUUAUUUUGCUGUCACUUGUGAGAGGACUUGAAGUUCGUAUAGAGGUUGGUGAGAUAUAAUCCCAAAUUAAACCCAAAUUAUGGUAAAACUAAACAAUAUAUCAUAAUCAUUUGAAGAUUACCCUUUUUAACAGAUAAUUACGCAGAAAAUGCCAUCAAUUGGUUUCAAACAUAAAAGGGAGCAGUUUCUCCAAAAUUUUCAAGAGGAAGAAAGAAAUAAAAUAAAGUGAACUGAACAUUAUUUAAGCCAGUCUAAUUAUGGUAAAAGUCUGGUCCAUUAUAGGCAACGUUGAACUUGUUUAUAAUAAUUGUCGACUGACCAUUUGAAUCAAUAAGGCUUUAGCUAUUGUUGGAUUUGAGCCUCUUAGGAAAGCAUCAGUUUCCAUUUAUUGCUUAUUUCAUGAUGUCGUAGUGUAAUUUUAUUGUUUAUAAACCUUUUAUGUGGAGACCACAUCUCUUAAUUGAUUACGUGAGCUUGAUUUUUUUUUUUUUUUUUUUUGUGUGAUUUUAAUUUUGAGUGAUCGUUGAUAACCAAAAGGGGAAAAAAAGGAAGAAAUAAAUUGAAAAUUCAGAGCAAAAAUCUGGUGGAUUUGAUUUUCUGUAAAUCUUGAAAGUUUAUAAUGAGUUGUGCGUAGAUGACUAUACAAGGGUUACCUCAGAUAAUGCACUCUAUGAGGAUCCGAAUUUGAUUGAUUGUGGACUUACUAAUUGAGAAUUUUUUGACUCUUCAAUUGAACUAGACUAUAGAUCUUUAGUCAGUUUCUACGGUUCUCGACCUUGCAAUAUGAUAAAGUGUUACAAGAAACGCCAUUGGAAGAGAUGCUGGCCAACGUGGAUGAACUUAUGUUCUUGAAUAAUUUAUGACGUUUGGCCAAAGAGCAGUAUUAGACUUAUUCGAUGAAGGUAUGUUUUGUAGACUAUAUAUAUAUAUAUGAAUUUAUUUCCAUUUUCUAAAUCAAUACUAGUUCUAUUUACACAUGAGCUUUGAAUCAAAUUUUGCUAUCAUUUCAUAGAGUUCUCAAUAGCAUGCAAUUAUUGGUAGUUUUUUAGGAUGUACUCUUCUGCUUGAUACUACUUUCUCUAUCAAACGGAUUUCAAUGUUUGGCUCUAUUAAUCAGGUUGAUAUACUUGGGGAAACAAGACAUGAUUAUAUCUCAUUUUCCUCGUAAGUAAAACCAAGAAGAGCUCCUACAUUUGUAUAGGGUAGAGCGAAUUCUGUUAGAAUGUUAAUAGUGCAAGAAGAAGAUGACAUUUGUUUCUAUUUUGUAUUUUGUGUAGGUUAAAAAUAUGUAAUGAUAUUUUAAUCUUAGUUUCAUGCACUAUCAAAAUGAUCUUUAAUUUGUUGCUUAAUUUACA